This 684-nucleotide ribosomal RNA is filed under the name fungal sp. K2. RNAcentral describes it as "partial 18S rRNA". Lineage: Eukaryota; Fungi. The record is from RNAcentral.
GCGUCAAAAAUGUAACAUCGUCCGAUCCCUAGUCGGCAUAGUUUAUGGUUAAGACUACGACGGUAUCUGAUCGUCUUCGAUCCCCUAACUUUCGUUCCUGAUUAAUGAAAACAUCCUUGGCAAAUGCUUUCGCAGUAGUUAGUCUUCAAUAAAUCCAAGAAUUUCACCUCUGACAAUUGAAUACUGAUGCCCCCGACUGUCCCUAUUAAUCAUUACGGCGGUCCUAGAAACCAACAAAAUAGAACCACACGUCCUAUUCUAUUAUUCCAUGCUAAUGUAUUCGAGCAUAGGCCUGCCUUGAGCACUCUAAUUUUUUCAAAGUAAAAGUCCUGUUUCCCCGCCACACCCAGUGAAGGGCAUGGGGUUCCGCAGAGGGAAAGGCCCGGCCGGACCAGUGCACGCGGUGAGGCGGACCGGCCAGCCAGGCCCAAGGUUCAACUACGAGCUUUUUAACCACAACAACUUUAAUAUACGCUAUUGGAGCUGGAAUUACCGCGGCUGCUGGCACCAGACUUGCCCUCCAAUUGUUCCUCGUUAAGGGAUUUAAAUUGUACUCAUUCCGAUUACAAGACCCAAAAGAGCCCUGUAUCAGUAUUUAUUGUCACUACCUCCCCGUGUCGGGAUUGGGUAAUUUGCGCGCCUGCUGCCUUCCUUGGAUGUAGUAGCCGUUUCUCAGGCUCCUUC